AGGCAACACUCUGUGGUAGAUACCUAGUUAUCUACUUCAAUUUAAGCUUGCUACAGUAACAUAGUCUCACUUAUUCCAGUGGUCUCUAAGGUGAGGUCAGCUGUUAUAUAGACUCUAACAUC
This is a small nucleolar RNA of Elgaria multicarinata webbii, 122 nucleotides long. RefSeq annotates it as small nucleolar RNA SNORA28. The transcript has a single exon. Lineage: Eukaryota; Metazoa; Chordata; Lepidosauria; Squamata; Anguidae. The record is from RefSeq and is a predicted model, not a curated record.